GACGAACGCUGGCGGCGUGCCUAAUACAUGCAAGUAGAACGCUGAAGGAGGAGCUUGCUUCUCUGGAUGAGUUGCGAACGGGUGAGUAACGCGUAGGUAACCUGCCUGGUAGCGGGGGAUAACUAUUGGAAACGAUAGCUAAUACCGCAUAAUAGUAGAUGUUGCAUGACAUUUGCUUAAAAGGUGCGAUUGCAUCACUACCAGAUGGACCUGCGUUGUAUUAGCUAGUUGGUGAGGUAACGGCUCACCAAGGCGACGAUACAUAGCCGACCUGAGAGGGUGAUCGGCCACACUGGGACUGAGACACGGCCCAGACUCCUACGGGAGGCAGCAGUAGGGAAUCUUCGGCAAUGGACGGAAGUCUGACCGAGCAACGCCGCGUGAGUGAAGAAGGUUUUCGGAUCGUAAAGCUCUGUUGUAAGAGAAGAACGAGUGUGAGAGUGGAAAGUUCACACUGUGACGGUAUCUUACCAGAAAGGGACGGCUAACUACGUG
This 495-nucleotide ribosomal RNA is filed under the name uncultured bacterium. RNAcentral describes it as "partial 16S ribosomal RNA". It matches the Rfam family "Bacterial small subunit ribosomal RNA", at positions 28 to 507 of the family's 1533-position model. The record is from RNAcentral.